This 496-nucleotide ribosomal RNA is filed under the name uncultured bacterium. RNAcentral's name for it is "partial 16S ribosomal RNA". It matches the Rfam family "Bacterial small subunit ribosomal RNA", at positions 28 to 506 of the family's 1533-position model. The record is from RNAcentral.
GAUGAACGCUGGCGGCGUGCCUAAUACAUGCAAGUCGAGCGAACGGACGAGAAGCUUGCUUCUCUGAUGUUAGCGGCGGACGGGUGAGUAACACGUGGAUAACCUACCUAUAAGACUGGGAUAACUUCGGGAAACCGUAGCUAAUACCGGAUAAUAUUUUGAACCGCAUGGUUCAAAAGUGAAAGACGGUCUUGCUGUCACUUAUAGAUGGAUCCGCGCUGCAUUAGCUAGUUGGUAAGGUAACGGCUUACCAAGGCAACGAUGCAUAGCCGACCUGAGAGGGUGAUCGGCCACACUGGAACUGAGACACGGGCCAGACUCCUACGGGAGGCAGCAGUAGGGAAUCUUCCGCAAUGGGCGAAAGACUGACGGAGCAACGCAGCGUGAGUGAUGAAGGUCUUCGGAUCGUAAAACUCUGUUAUUAGGGAAGAACAUAUGUGUAAGUAACUGUGCACAUCUUGACGGUACCUAAUCAGAAAGCCACGGCUAACUACGU